UUUCUGGCAGAACCUGAGCAGUGACAUUACAGAGUUAUUGUAAUGGAAAUGGGAAUGUUUUACAAGGUUGUAGCUUCAAGACGUCUGUCAAGAACCAAAUGUAACAAUUUUUAUUCAAACUGUGUAAAAGAGCACAAGUCCAGACGGAAGAAGAAGACGCAGCCACCACCCAAAACAAAGCGGAAGAAUCUAAGCCCCGCCCCCAAACCCACGUUCCGUUCUCCCACCGGUUCCAUUAGCCCCGCCCACUCACGCACCUGCCCGCAGUGGAUCAUCCAACCCAAGUAGUCGUUCACCUUUUCUGGACGUGUGAAACGCCAGGGUCGGACUUCUCCUUCGUCUCUGCCUGGUAACUGAGCCCCGACAUGAGCUUUGAACGUGUUGUCGUCUUUGUUUGAGCCUCAAACCGGUAAACUGUGACCAUGUUUCCACUCAGCGCAGACGUAUUCAUGGAUGAAGACGCCGGGAGCAAUUGAACACAAAUGCCUGCAUGAAGGACGGAGGGAAUAGUUGAUGAGCGCUGGAAUCAUCACCUCAGUCCUCCUCACCCCAACACAGAGCGGAAGAUGAAAAACCGUCCUUUUCAGUGACGAGCGCUAACGGCUAGCUGCCGGUUAGCUCAUCCUCCACCUGCUCCGUCCACCAGACAAAAUAUGCACCAGCAGCGUGAACGCUUGGGCUCCACGAUCACCGGAGGCCUAAUUAAAUUAUUGCUCUCAGUGGAACUGCACACACCCAGCGCGGAAGCAGGUGCAAUUCAAUAACUCAACUAUUAUAAAUUAUCAUUGUCACAAAGCAAAAUGAAUGGAACUGGGCUUAACCUUUAAAUGGAGCAACUAAAAUAAAGUAGCUGCUACUCGUUUGAGCAGCA
Long non-coding RNA from Betta splendens (Siamese fighting fish), 871 nucleotides. RefSeq lists it as uncharacterized. NCBI's taxonomy places the organism in Eukaryota, Metazoa, Chordata, Actinopteri, Anabantiformes, Osphronemidae. The transcript is spliced from 3 exons. The record is from RefSeq and is a predicted model, not a curated record.